GGGCACGUAGCUCAGCGGAUAGAGCGUUCGCCUCCGGAGCGAAAGGUCGGUGGUUCGAUCCCACUCGUGCCCA
This 73-nucleotide transfer RNA is filed under the name Gloeobacterales cyanobacterium ES-bin-141. It matches the Rfam family "tRNA". Rfam says of the family: Transfer RNA (tRNA) molecules are approximately 80 nucleotides in length. Their secondary structure includes four short double-helical elements and three loops (D, anti-codon, and T loops). Further hydrogen bonds mediate the characteristic L-shaped molecular structure. tRNAs have two regions of fundamental functional importance: the anti-codon, which is responsible for specific mRNA codon recognition, and the 3' end, to which the tRNAs corresponding amino acid is attached (by aminoacyl-tRNA synthetases). tRNAs cope with the degeneracy of the genetic code in two manners: having more than one tRNA (with a specific anti-codon) for a particular amino acid; and 'wobble' base-pairing, i.e. permitting non-standard base-pairing at the 3rd anti-codon position. The record is from Rfam by way of RNAcentral. Lineage: Bacteria; Bacillati; Cyanobacteriota; Cyanophyceae; Gloeobacterales.